Molecule: ribosomal RNA, 481 nt
Filed under: uncultured bacterium
Lineage: Bacteria
Description: partial 16S ribosomal RNA
Rfam family: Bacterial small subunit ribosomal RNA
Source: RNAcentral
GAUGAACGCUAGCGGCAGGCCUAAUACAUGCAAGUCGAACGAGAUUAAGAGGCUUGCUUCUUAUGAAAGUGGCGCACGGGUGCGUAACGCGUAUGCAACCUACCUUAAUCAGGGGGAUAGCCCGAAGAAAUUCGGAUUAAGACCGCAUAAAAACACAGGAUAGCAUUAUCCAAUGUUCAAAUAUUUAUAGGAUUAAGAUGGGCAUGCGUGUCAUUAGCUAGUUGGCGGGGUAACGGCCCACCAAGGCGACGAUGACUAGGGGAUCUGAGAGGAUGACCCCCCACCUGGGUAAGGGAAAACGGCCCAGACCCCUAGGGGAGGAAGCAGAAAGGAAAAUGGGUCAAGGGAGGGAACUCUGAACCAGCCAGCCCGGGGGAAGGAAGACAGCCCUCUGGGGCGAAACCUGCUUUUAUUCGGGAAAAAACCUUUCUACGUGUAGGAAGCUGAAUGUACCGAAGGAAAAAGGAUCGGCUAACUCCGU